Carassius gibelio (silver crucian carp) is the source of this 3203-nucleotide RNA transcript. It is a transcript of the gene named ring finger protein 165a, with no coding region annotated. NCBI's taxonomy places the organism in Eukaryota, Metazoa, Chordata, Actinopteri, Cypriniformes, Cyprinidae. The transcript has 2 exons. The record is from RefSeq and is a predicted model, not a curated record.
GGUUAGGGUUUGUUCAAAUCCUCAAUUUAAGCCAUUAUUUGCUUAUUUAUUUAUGUAUGGUAAGGAACAACUUGUCACAGGAGCUGUAAAUAGGUCAUACCAGAAUAUUCCUUGAACAAAAAAUAGACUGAUUGCAUAACCUUGAGUACUAAACACAGCAUUCUAUCUAUCUAUUCUAUCUAUUUUUCAAAAUGUACUUGCACGCUGACGUCAUAGUUUGCGAAUCUUGACGCGUUUUGGUAGCUGAGCGUUUCCGCCGCGUCCAGAACGUCAAACCCCCUACAGCUAAUUCACAAAAGACUCGCCGCCGUGCCGAGCGCUGUGAUUGGCUGAGGCCGGAGCCACAGGAAGCGGCGCUGGGCUCGCUGAUUGGCUGCCGUUCUCUUUGUGUGCGGGCAGCUGGCGUCUGGGCUGCAUUUUGAAUGGUCUCGUAUCGGAAGGCGAAGGUGUCCAUGGGCAGCACAGCAACAAAGGAGCCAGGAUGGUGUUAGUGCACGUCGGAUAUCUGGUUCUUCCCGUCUUCGGUUCGGUCAGAAGUAGAGAGCUCUGUUCCCUUCCAUUGUGUAUCUAACGAUCACCCGCCGCUGCUGUGCUAUAGCCUCUGCCUGCCCUGCAUCUAGCUGUGUUGUGACUCCCUCUUCUCAUUCCCUCUCUUUCCAUCUGAAGACGACAUUACAAACAAACUCUCACUCAUCCAGUGUAACAGACUGCAGAAUAACACUCUCUCUUCUCUAGAAGAAUCCUCUUGUCUUCUUAUUUUUAAAUGGUCAUUGUUGCUAAAAUAACAACUCAUUGUAGCAUUUAGCUUUUUUACGACUGUCAUUGUGAUUUGUCCCAUUCUCGGUGUGGAUAGACCAACAUUUUUGCUGUAAAUUUCUGUCAAGUGGAUGCAUUGGCCUCUCACUCGAUCAUAGCCGGGCUUGAUCGACCCCUAAACACUGUCUCUGUCUUUUGGGAAGGUGUGCUGUGCCGGUGGGAUUCGCCAGAGGGUUGGACUCAGAAACUUACUAGAGAAGCUUGAUGUAAAUUUUUCUAAUUAUGCAUGUACAGUUGGGAUCGACAAUAUCUCACUCAGUGACCCUUCGCUCUGUAGGUUCUGCCUCCCUAGGGUUACCCAUGAAUGAUUUAAUCAAAUUAAAUCUAUACCAUCUUCCUUAAAGGAAUAGUUUGCAUAAAUUCAAUUCUUUCAGUAUUUACUCACCUUUAUGUCAUUCAACCCCCAUAUGCUGUUAUUUGUUUUGUAGGAAAUAUAAAAUGUUAAAAGGAUAUUGAUGGGGCUCCAGAAAGGACGAGAAAAAAAAUAUAUAUAUACAUUUUUAUUUACUUAGUAAUGUUAGUGCUUCAGCGUAAACUUAUUUCAGGCAACAAUCCUUAUUUUUAGUUUAAAAACAAUUCUUCUAAUAUUAAUAUUUGAUUUGAUUUCAGCUUCCCCACUAACAAAAAUGGUUUUAGUAGUUUUGGGUAAAGUCAAUAACCCUGGUUUAAAUGACACAUACACUAUAUUUCAGGUCUUCUGAUGUCUUACGAGUGAAACUGAAGGUAUUAUUCACUAGUUUUCUUCGCUGUAGAACUGAAAUCUCAUUUGCAUUCAGUGGUUUUGAAGGUCAAAAAUACAAAUGGUUCUUUUAUGGAACUAAAUGUAAGUGAGUUAAAGCUGGCUGUUUAAGGAAAACAGCUGUAACAUAGAUCUAAAAAGACUUGUUUUGAGUUGCAUGGGAAAAUGACAGCAUAUGUGCGUAGAAUGACACGAGAGUGAGUGACUUCAUAUAUGACGUCAGGUAUGUAAUAUAUUUUUUGUACUUCCAUUGAUGUAUUAUCUUUAAUGGUCUGACUUUUUAUUAAUCCUCAAAGAGUAACAGAUGGAAACCAUAGAAAUGCUGCUAUUUCAAGACUUUUAACGGUUAAUAUCAAACACCUUUUAGAAGAGCAUACAUAUUACGUCAGAUAUGUUUGAUUUGAUAUGACUGUUAAAGUAAUAGUUCACUUAAAAAUUAAAAGUUGCUGAAAAUGUGCUCACCCUUUAGGCCAUCCAAGAUAUAGAUGAGUUUUUCUUCAUCAGAACAGGUUUGGAGAAAUUUAACUUAACGUCACCUGCUCAGCAAUGGAUCCUCUGCAGUGAAUGGGUGCCGUGAGAAUGAGAGUCUAAACAGCUGAUUAAAACAUCACAAUAAUCCACACAUCAUUCCAGUCCAUCAGUUAAUGUCUUGAAGUGUAAAGCUGUGUGUUUAUAAGCAGUAAAUCCAUCAUUAAAGCAUGUUAUCUUUUAAACGAGUCCUCUAUCCAUCCUAACGCUUACUCCAGUGAAAAAGUCGUCUCAUCUGGAUCAGGAGAGAAAUCUGCACAGAUCGCAGCUUCUCAAGACGUUAACUGAUGGACUGGAGUGGUGUUGAUUGUGAUGUUUUAAUCAGCUGGUUGGACUUUCAUUCUGACGGCACCCAUUCACUGCAGAGCAUCCAUUGGUGAGCAAGUGAUGCCAUGCUACAUUUCUCCAAACCUGAUGAAGAUACAAACUCCUCUACAUCUUGGAUGACCUAACGGUGAGUAAAUGUUCAGCAAAUGUUUAUUUUUAGGUGAUCUAUUCCUUUUAAAGAUGACUUAAAUGGUGUAUUUUAAGUAAAAAACAGUUGUCUUUAGUUUGAAGUAGUAAAAGGACAAAAACGAGUAUCUAAGCAUUAGUUUCUGGCUCUGGACUGGCACACUUCACCUGACCGUCGCUCAAACAGCCCCUCAUUCGUUCGAUUUGCCCAUGCUGCAAAAUUAGCAUUAGCCUAGCGCUACCGAGCGCUGUGCGAGUGCUAAUGUCAUCCACUUUACAGGGAUCACUAGAACUGCACUGUAGAAGUCCUUCUAGUAUGGAAAUGUCUCUAUUUCUUUGGUUGUGGUUCUCUGCCUUCUGUUCCUGUACUAGGCUGUAAUGCAUGACCAUGUUUGUUAUUUUCCUCUUGGUUUUGAUUGUUUCUUUGGUUUGGAACAUUGAACAGCAAACUCCAAUGUAUCUUUGUGUAGACAUGUCCUGCUGUACUGACGUGUUGUAGCAUACACAUCUACCCAUUGGAUGCUGCUUCUGUUAUGUUAACUUAAUGGAGCAUGGUCGGGCCUUGCCUUCGCUCUUUAUUUGCAUGGAAUUAUUAUUGCUAUUAUUAUGAUCACACAAUUCCACUCAUACUAAUAUUUUCCAAUAAAGACUGUAGAUGUUCCCUUAA